RNAcentral lists this transfer RNA (66 nucleotides) under Callibia diana. Its description in RNAcentral is "tRNA-Trp". Lineage: Eukaryota; Metazoa; Arthropoda; Insecta; Mantodea; Acanthopidae. The record is from RNAcentral.
AAGACUUUAAGUUAAUUAAACUAAUAUCCUUCAAAGCUAUAAAUAAAGAGUUUCCUUUAAGUCUUA